RNAcentral lists this ribosomal RNA (119 nucleotides) under Pteropus alecto (black flying fox). Lineage: Eukaryota; Metazoa; Chordata; Mammalia; Chiroptera; Pteropodidae. The record is from RNAcentral.
GUCUAUGGCCAUGCCACCAUGAACAUGCCCGAUCUCGUCUGAUCUCGGAAGCUAAGCAGGGUUGGGCCUGGUUAGUAUUUGGAUGGGAGACCAUCUAGGAAGACCAGGUGCUGUAGGCU